This 253-nucleotide ribosomal RNA is filed under the name uncultured bacterium. RNAcentral's name for it is "partial 16S ribosomal RNA". It matches the Rfam family "Bacterial small subunit ribosomal RNA", at positions 524 to 776 of the family's 1533-position model. The record is from RNAcentral.
GACGGAGGAUGCAAGCGUUAUCCGGAAUGAUUGGGCGUAAAGCGUCCGCAGGUGGCAGUUCAAGUCUGCUGUCAAAGACCGGGGCUUAACUUCGGAAAGGCAGUGGAAACUGAACAGCUAGAGUAUGGUAGGGGCAGAGGGAAUUCCUGGUGUAGCGGUGAAAUGCGCAGAUAUCAGGAAGAACACCCGUGGCGAAAGCGGCUCUCUGGAACGGUACUGACGCUGAGACGCGAAAGCGUGGGGAGCGAACAGG